RNAcentral lists this ribosomal RNA (450 nucleotides) under uncultured bacterium. RNAcentral's name for it is "bacterial SSU rRNA". It matches the Rfam family "Bacterial small subunit ribosomal RNA", at positions 329 to 792 of the family's 1533-position model. The record is from RNAcentral.
UGCCAGACUCCUACGGGAGGCAGCAGUGGGGAAUAUUGGGCAAUGGACGCAAGUCUGACCCAGCAACGCCGCGUGAAGGAAGAAGGCUUUCGGGUUGUAAACUUCUUUUAAGGGGGAAGAGUAGAAGACGGUACCCCUUGAAUAAGCCACGGCUAACUACGUGCCAGCAGCCGCGGUCAUACGUAGGAUCCGAGCAUUAUCCGGAGUGACUGGGUGUAAAGAGUUGCGUAGGUGGCAUAAUAAGUAGCUAGUGAAAUCUGGUGGCUCAACCAUUCAGACUAUUAGCUAAACUGUUAAGCUCGAGACCGUUAGGGGUAACUGGAAUUUCUAGUGUAGGGUUGAAAUCCGUAGAUAUUAGAAGGAACACCAAUAGCGUAGGCAGGUUACUGGGACGGUUCUGACACUAAGGCACGAAAGCGUAGGGAGCAAACGGGAUUAGAUACCCCUGUA